RNAcentral lists this ribosomal RNA (258 nucleotides) under uncultured bacterium. RNAcentral describes it as "partial 16S ribosomal RNA". It matches the Rfam family "Bacterial small subunit ribosomal RNA", at positions 96 to 354 of the family's 1533-position model. The record is from RNAcentral.
UGGUGGACGGGUGAGUAACGCGUGGGUAACCUGCCUCACACAGGGGGAUAACAGUUGGAAACGACCGCUAAUACCGCAUAAGCCAACAGGGGCGCAUGCUCUGGUUGGAAAAGAUUUAUCGGUGUGAGAUGGACCCGCGUCUGAUUAGCCAGUUGGCAGGGUAACGGCCUACCAAAGCGACGAUCAGUAGCCGGCCUGAGAGGGUGAACGGCCACAUUGGGACUGAGACACGGCCCAAACUCCUACGGAAGGCAGCAG